GAGAAAGCCCUUGCAUGGAAAUGAAGACCCAACACAGCCAAAAAUAAGUAAAUUAAUUAAUUAAUUUUUAAAAAAUUAUAAGUAGCUUUGUGGGACCCUAGCUGCUAAGUCUCCACUAGUACCUACUUAUUGGCUGGAGGUAGUUGUCUUCUGGUUGGAAAAGAAAAUAGAAUUUUCCCAUGUGUUUCUAGUGUUUGAAACAAGAGUUUUGAUCUGAUUGACAGUCUGUCUACCCUCUCCUGUGUGAGGAGUGGGAACAUGUCGCAGCUGUUUUUACUUAGGAUUUGCACUUCUGCUGUGGUCCCAGCCACCAGUAGGCACCACCUUGGUGUCCUGUGCCAGGAGCCGGGUCAUCCCUUGUGGCCGUUGGGGCCGGACCUGACUUCAUGGAGGGCAUCGGGUUGUUCCUAACACGCCACCCUCCAGAAGGUGCUGCUAGAAUUUCUGCCACAUGGUCCUUACGAAUCUGUCCUCUGGAGCGAGUUGCUGCCUUUCAGGCUCCCCUGAAAGGGGAUCGGGCCGGAGACAUUUGUGGGCUCUUCACCCUCAGUCAGUUCUCUCAAGGGAGAAAGAAGACGGGAGAUUCUAGAAUUAUUUCAAAGUUCUACUGGAAAGCCCCAAAGCAGAGUCAGGGCGGCAGCUCUUCUGUGCAGUGACUUCCAGAGAGGAAACAAGUCCCAUCUGAAAUCCGAGACUCUGCACCUGUUACCCUCUUAGCGGGCUACAGGGAACUGGGCCUAGAGCUUCAGGAACUCAACCAGAACCUUCUGUGACAACCGUUUGAACCUUUGGUCUGUGGUUAUGUCCCACACAUAUGUCGUGUGAUUUGCUCCUUAUCUUUGCUGGUGCGUUCACAGGUGGUCUUAAGUUUAUAGCCUAAACUUAGGGCAGAGAAGAAGCGCUCGUCUGAGGUGCAGAGAGAGCACUUCUUUCGCCAGGUGGCCUCCGAUCCCCAGCUCCUGCCAGGUCUUUGCUCUUGAGAGAAAAUACUUCCACUGUUCCUUUUCACUGUGCAGAACUGCACGGAGCGGAGAGGUCUUCACAGUGACCUGACAAUGCUGGGGGGAAGCACACCCCUUCUGAUUGACCUACAGCAAACCAGCAAGGGGUCUCCACUGCCACGUGACCUCUGACCACGACCUUGUGGUGAGGGCAGUGCCCUUGAGCUGCUUCUCUGCUGAGAAAGUUCUUAGGCCCUUCGAGUGGAGGUGCCACCCCUGCCUCCGGUUGUGAUGUAGCAACGUGGAUUGUGUUGAGUCAACGGCAUGGGCCCUGCAGAGUGUCUGCUCCUCUGUCUGGCUACCAGCCAGUCCCUGCCUGUCCUCUUGCCCUUCCCCCCCAUGGCAAGUGGACACUCAGUCACGUUCCCUUUCCUUGCCUUUGCCUGAUCCACAGAACCCCGUGAAGGACUUGGGACAUGGUGUCAAGGACUUCAGCAGAGGAGAACAUUCUAAGGAAGGGCAGCAUGUGAAAGCAUCUCUUCUUUCCACAUUGCUCCUGGAGCUUCAGUUUCCUGGAACAGAGGGCUGCACCCCUCGUCUGGGCCCCCAUAGGCCCCGAGCAGAGCAGAGGAGCUGGCGGUGGAGCAGAUCAAGUCCUGGGCACAGCAGCUCUAGCUCGCUCGCUGGGCUUCUGCAGGCCCGGGGCGUGGAGCCAGCAGGCUGGAGCCAGGCAGCCUCCCGGGCCUCCUCACAGCCGCUUUUGAUAAAGCCCCUCUGUGCACAGGGUGGGGGGGCCCGGCCGGCUGGAGCCAGCUCACAUCUGGAGGCCAGCACAGGCCUGGGGCAGCCGGCGCGGCUGACAGUGGCGCCACCCCGAGCCACACGCCCAGCACUGGGUAAACAGCCCCGCGCCCACCCAGCAGCUCACCUUUCGCCCACAAGGCUGCCUUUCUUCUCGGACCCAGGACGAGGCCACCACGAACGUUCCUCCCGGCACAGGGCAGAACGGGCCGCUGACCUCGAGGCUGGGCCGAAAUCUGAAUCCAGGAGGCUCAGCGAGGACAGCCGCGGGAGUGAGUGGGACACACGUUAUACAAGAGGAAACCCUGGGGCGCUGACCCUGCCCUCCCAUCCCGGAAGGGUCUCUGAGGAAGUGACGCCCUGAACACAGAGCCGGAUCCGUGGCGACCGCGAAGAAUCUUCCCUUCCCGGCAGAGGCACCAGCCAUGCAAAGGCAGGAAGGCUGCCACACCACACCCCUAGGAAGCUGGAGGCUUUGCACGGGAUGCCCCGCUCUGGCCUGGCUUUCUCCUUUUGUGGAAAGGGAACAGUCGCCCGCCCACCCCCACAAGCGGGGAUGCUGUUCCUGGUGGUGGGUCAGGCCUCCGUGGACCCCCUCAAGUCCUGGAAGAUGAUCGUGUCUGCGGGCUUGGGGAGACGGAGAAGAGAGUGUAGACUGAACAGCUCUCCAACUCCAGACUUUGAGGCAGGAUCCUGAGGUACUUAGAAGGAAAUGACAAGCAGCCUCAUUUACAAUGGAAGGAAACUGAGGUACAACAACAAAAUAAUAAAAUCUAAUGCUUACUGAGCUCUUACUCCAAGCCAGGCACAGUGCUAAGCCCUUUGACCCAAGUUCUUUCAUUUAAUCCCCCCAACGAUCAUCACUGUCGGAAGCUAAUACCGUGACCCCUAUUUUACAAGUGUGGGAAUGAAGACUCGGGAGGUAAGUCAAGACCAUGCCUCCUGUUAAUGGGGGAUCUGGGAUGAGCAUGCAGAUCUGGCUUCAGAACCCAGAAUCAUAAACCCGGCACUUCCUGAGGGGAGGUGGGGGUAGGAGGGAAGGGAUGGGGGCCACCUGGGAGAGACAGACGAUAAGCCCUUGUCUGAGGGCUAAGGGCAGUGGAAUAAAUAAUUGCAAGAGUGAGGGACCCAGGGUCAGUUCCAUGUUCUUCCUACCCUGGAUGGCCCAGGGCAGUUUGGAGAACCCCGAUUCUAGCCCACCCCAGCAACCUAGAAUUUACUCUGCUUUGUUCAUUCAUUUAUUCCUUCAUUCAAUCAUUCAGUCAACAGAAAACAAAAUACAGGAUGACACAGAUCAAAUAUAUCCCUGUAAACAAUAAAUGUAAAUGGGUUGAAUGGUCUAUUAGAAAACAAAGACUCAUAUUAGAUCAAAAAUCAAAAUCUAUUCACUUAUUCAUGGGCCAAAUAUUUAUUAAAUGCCUAAAAGAUUCAAGGUCCUGUUUUAGAAUCUAAUGAUAGAAUGUAAAAAUAAAAUUUCUGUUAAAGAAGGAAAAACACUGGGGAAAGGAGAUCCAGGGAGAGAGAUCUGAAGGUGCAAAAACUGUGAGGCUGCAAUGAGUUGGAGGAUGGAGUAGCCGAAAAGGGGCCGGUGUGGUUGGAGAAGAGCACUAGUGAGCAAGCGUAGGGGGGUGAGGCAGGCAAGGCCUGCCAGGUCAGGUCCGGAGAGCAGAGGCAGCACCAAGGGGGGCCGAGAUGCAGAGGAGCCGGGUCCUGCUUACCUAGAGCUGUGGGGCAGCGACCGCUCCUCACUCUCCCAGCAACCCCAGCUGGGACUCUUGACCCUUCCCCAACUGAAUGCAGCCAAGAUGACCUCGCCCAGCCUCCUCCCAGGGAAGAAGACUUACCAUGAAUUGAAGGCCUACUGGGUGCAAGGCUCUGCCAUGGGUGGUUUACAUGCUUAAUUAGCUCAUUAAGUCCUGCCAUCAGGUUAGUUUUCUCCCAUUCUGCAGAAGAAAAAAACUAAGCCUCAGAGAGGUAGAGUGACCUGCCUGAAGCCACACAGCCAGACAAUGGCAGGCCUGAAGUUUGAACUUGGGGUAUCCAACCCUAUGGUGUUUCUUCCUGGCACUGCAUAGCUGCCUCCCAGGAAAUGGCAGUGGAGAGGUCUCAGCUGGCUGUGUCCUCACGUGGGUCCCCUGACCUCUACGACUUCAAUUCUCCAUCUGGGAACCCGCAUGCCAGGUCAGUGUCGAGACCUAGAUGACUCCCUCCCUCUGGGAUGUGGAGUUCCAACGUGCUGAGCUGGCGCUUCUGAUUCCACCCCCACAAUGACUCCAUUUGACAGAGGAGGAAACUGAGGCUCAGAGGGGGAAGUGAUUCUGCAGGGUCACAGCCUUGGGACUCCCGAGGGCCUGGGACUUUUGUGAGUCUGUUCAUUGGAUGCUAAGAAUGAGGACCCCCCCAAGGAUGCAGAGACUUUGGGAUGGGGUGGAGGGACAGGAACAAGGAUACACAGGCAAUAAGGGAGAGCAGGCCUGGAACCCAGGACACCAGCUCCCAGCCUCUGCCCCUCACUGCAUCCUGGGGAAGGCGGGGGCCUGGCCCCUGGGUCCGGAUUAUUUCCUGAGAACGGGGAGGGGCCACGGGAAGUCUCCCCGCAUCAUCCCACUCAGGUCCUGCCCAAACAGGAAAUGCCAGGCAGUCCCCCCACCCACACCCCAGGGCCGUGGGAAAGCUUUGCCUGGGAUCCAGUGCUUCCAGCUCUGGCCCAGCCUCACUGGGGAUCUAGACCCUAACAGGGCCUGCGUGACCUUGGACAAGGUCCUUCCCCUCUCAGGGCCUCAGUCUCCCGCUCUGUAGUCACAGAACUCUGCCACCUCCCGGCUGUAUGACCUCAGGCAGGUGUCUGUGCCCUUCUGAAGCCCAGCUCCCUCUUCUGUAAAGUAGGGGACGGUACACACAGAGUGUGCUCCACCCACGGAG
Aethalodelphis obliquidens (Pacific white-sided dolphin) is the source of this 4664-nucleotide long non-coding RNA. RefSeq lists it as uncharacterized. The record is from RefSeq and is a predicted model, not a curated record. Lineage: Eukaryota; Metazoa; Chordata; Mammalia; Artiodactyla; Delphinidae. The transcript has 4 exons.